RNAcentral lists this ribosomal RNA (646 nucleotides) under uncultured fungus. RNAcentral's name for it is "eukaryotic LSU rRNA". The stretch from base 120 to 273 matches the Rfam family "5.8S ribosomal RNA". The record is from RNAcentral. Lineage: Eukaryota; Fungi.
ACCCCUUCACAAUCCACAUACACCUGGUGCACUGUUUUGGCUUUUGAGCAAUCGAAAGCCAAUCAUUUUAUACAAACUCUCAGUUUAAUGAAUGUAACCGUUUUAUAUAAACAAAAUAAAACUUUCAACAACGGAUCUCUUGGUUCUCGCAUCGAUGAAGAACGCAGCGAAAUGCGAUAAGUAAUGUGAAUUGCAGAAUUCAGUGAAUCAUCGAAUCUUUGAACGCACCUUGCGCUCCUUGGUAUUCCGAGGAGCAUGCCUGUUUGAGUGUCAUGAAACUCUCAACCUCUGACUUUCUUAAUCGUCGGUCAGCGGCUUGGACUUGGGCGCUGCCGGUCUUAAUUGAUCGGCUCGCCUGAAAUGUUUUAGCGAAUCCCUUCUGUAAUCGGUUCCACUCGACGUGAUAAGUAUCUCGUCGAGGACAUCUUUAUUGAUGGCCGAGAUAAAGCUGGUUUAAGAUCUGCUUCUAACUCUUUCUUUUGCCAUCUGGCAGGGAAAACCCCUUUAUGAUCUGGCCUCAAAUCAGGUAGGACUACCCGCUGAACUUAAGCAUAUCAAUAAGCGGAGGAAAAGAAACUAACAAGGAUUCCCCUAGUAACGGCGAGUGAAGCGGGAUGAGCUCAAAUUUAAAAUCUGGCUGCCUCAG